This 354-nucleotide RNase P RNA is filed under the name Clostridia bacterium. Its description in RNAcentral is "RNase P RNA component class A". It matches the Rfam family "Bacterial RNase P class A". From Rfam's summary of the family: Ribonuclease P (RNase P) is a ubiquitous endoribonuclease, found in archaea, bacteria and eukarya as well as chloroplasts and mitochondria. Its best characterised activity is the generation of mature 5'-ends of tRNAs by cleaving the 5'-leader elements of precursor-tRNAs. Lineage: Bacteria; Bacillati; Bacillota; Clostridia. The record is from RNAcentral.
CAACUCUGCCGGACGGCCGCGCGGUACGGUGCCGAAAGGUUUUACCGUGAGGAAAGUCCGGGCUUCGCAGGGCAGGAUAGCUGAUAACGUCAGCCGCAGGCGACUGCCGGGAAAGUGCAACAGAAAUAAACCGCCGAGAAAUCGGUAAGGAUGGAAAGGCGAGGUAAGAGCUCACCAGUUCCUAUGGUAACAUAGGUCCGCUGUAAACCCUAUCCGAAGCAACACCGUAUGGGAGCCGUUUGCCCGACACAUGCUCCCGGGUGGCACGGGGGAAACCCCGGAGCUAUAUGGCGACAUAUAGCAAAGACAGAUGGUCGUCCACGACAGAACCCGGCUUACAGGCAGAGUUGCAAU